AGAGUUUGAUCAUGGCUCAGGACGAACGCUGGCGGCGUGCCUAACACAUGCAAGUGGAGCGACGAACCAGGCUUCGGCCUGGGGCAAAGCCGCGAACGGGUGAGUAACACGUGGGUAACCUGCCCCGAUGAUUGGGACAACCCGAGGAAACUCGGGCUAAUACCAAAUGUGCCCUCCGGUCAUAAGACCGCUGGGGAAAGGAAGCUUCGGCCUCCGCAUCGGGAUGGGCCCGCGGCCCAUUAGCUUGUUGGUGAGGUAACGGCUCACCAAGGCGACGAUGGGUAGCUGGUCUGAGAGGACGAUCAGCCACACUGGGACUGAGACACGGCCCAGACUCCUACGGGAGGCAGCAGUGGGGAAUCUUGCGCAAUGCGCGAGAGCGUGACGCAGCAACGCCGCGUGGGGGAAGAAGGCCUUCGGGUUGUAAACCCCUUUCAGUUGGGACGAAGCUCCGCCGGUGAAUAGCCGGCUGGAGUGACGGUACCUUCAGAAGAAGCCCCGGCUAACUACGUGCCAGCAGCCGCGGUAAUACGUAGGGGGCAAGCGUUGUCCGGAAUCAUUGGGCGUAAAGAGCGUGUAGGCGGCUCGGUAAGUCCGCUGUGAAAGUCCAGGGCUCAACCCUGGAAUGCCGGUGGAAACUGUCGAGCUCGAGUCCGGAAGAGGCGAGUGGAAUUCCUGGUGUAGCGGUGAAAUGCGCAGAUAUCAGGAGGAACACCAAUGGCGAAGGCAGCUCGCUGGGACGGUACUGACGCUGAGACGCGAAAGCGUGGGGAGCAAACAGGAUUAGAUACCCCCGUAGUCC
This 802-nucleotide ribosomal RNA is filed under the name uncultured bacterium. Its description in RNAcentral is "bacterial SSU rRNA". It matches the Rfam family "Bacterial small subunit ribosomal RNA", at positions 8 to 796 of the family's 1533-position model. The record is from RNAcentral.